UAAGGAAUAUUGGUCAAUGGACGCAAGUCUGAACCAGCCAUGCCGCGUGAAGGAUGAGGGUCCUCUGGAUUGUAAACUUCUUUUAUCUGGGACGAAAACGGGAUUUUUAUCUCAAUUGACGGUACCAGAGGAAUAAACACCGGCUAACUCCGUGCCAGCAGCCGCGGUAAUACGGAGGGUGCGAGCGUUAUCCGGAUUUACUGGGUUUAAAGGGUGCGCAGGUGGGCUUAUAAGUCAGUGGUGAAAUCUCCGAGCUUAACUUGGAAACUGCCGUUGAUACUAUAGGUCUUGAAUUAUCUGGAGGUAAGCGGAAUAUGUCAUGUAGCGGUGAAAUGCUUAGAUAUGACAUAGAACACCAAUUGCGAAGGCAGCUUACUACAUAUAAAUUGACGCUGAGGCACGAAAGCGUGGGGAUCAAACA
This 421-nucleotide ribosomal RNA is filed under the name uncultured bacterium. RNAcentral describes it as "bacterial SSU rRNA". It matches the Rfam family "Bacterial small subunit ribosomal RNA", at positions 355 to 774 of the family's 1533-position model. The record is from RNAcentral.